AUCUCUCAAUGCCAUGGUCCCUGCCUCUCAGGGGACCACACAGCCUGGCCAGCUAUUCUGGGGCUGGAGUCAGGAAGCUUCCUCCUCUCCCACUUGUUAUGUCCAAUUAGGCAGAGACUUCAGGCUUUAACUUUUAAAUAUUUAGUGAGAAAUCUCAGAGUUCACCACCCCCUAAAUAAACAUUCUUUUUCUUUCUUUUUACUUUCUCUCUCUCUCUUUUUUUUUNUUUUUUUUUUUUUUUUUUUUUUUGCUUUUUAGCCUGGGAAUCUCCAUAUGCCAUGGGUGCGGCCCUAAAAAGACAAAAGACAAAAAAAAAAAAAAAAAAAAAAAAAAAAAAAGAAAAGAAACAGUUCAGUUCCUUCACAUAAAACUCCUUUCUCAACAUCACCCUGCUGUUAUCUUGCUUGUCAGGGAUGGAAGGUCACUCAGGAAAGCAGCCUUUUGUGUGUUAAUUGUACAUACCAUGGGCUAUGUACAUACCAUGGGGUACACCACAGCCACAGCAACACUGGAUCCUUGACCCACUGAGCAAGGCCAGGGAUUGAACCCGCCACCUCAUGGAUACUAGUCGGGUUUAUAAACUGCUGAGCCACAACAGGAACUCCUACUUUUCUAUCAUUUAGAAGCAUUUUCAUGAUAGAGAUUUUUACAUUUCCUAAUGGAUAUACUGUUAGCCAUACAGAUGCAGUCACAUAUAAUAUUUCAGGAAAGAAAGCAAAUUUUAGGUGGAUAAAGUUUAUACCUAAGAUAGUAUCUAACCCAAUUCUUUCAUUUUUUGGAUAAGGAAAACACAGUGUCCCUUCAGUUUUGAAAUAAACUCUUUCAGUUUAGUGAUUCCAAAAUAAAGUUCCAUUCGACCUUGAACAGUACUUAGCACAGAGGAUGCACCUUACAAAUAUCUGCAAAAUGAAUUACUGCUGCUGGAAGAUGUUUAAAUGAUUUCUCUCAAAAGACUGCCAGUCAGCAACAGAGAUAAUAUAUGAAGAGCUCAGUAGAAUCCCCAUUGCAUGGUUAGUGUGUAUGUGUAUGUAAUAGAAAAUCCCGUCUAAGCAAAACGGUGAUCAUCUGUUCUGCAUUCCAACAGUACUGAAUUGAGGCAAACGAACAUGGGUUGAAGUUAGGAUCUCAGGGUUGGUCAUCCUUUUAUCAUCUAUAUUAUUCAUCCUAAUGAUAACGUGCACCUGAAAUUGGUGACUUUACAGAGAAACAGAGCCACAUGGUUCAAGGUUUUGAGCCAGCGUUCCUGAGAGAUUCGAUGGAUCCUUCAACCACUUUUUUGAAUCGUUCAGACAGGUCCAUGGCAUUUCUGUGAUCAACAUGACAGUUCCUCAGGAUGGGAGGCAAAUAUGCCAAUUUCAUAGUUACAAAAUCUGUAAACGAGGGCAAUAAAAUAAAAAUGGAUGGAUCGGUGUGAUAGCAUCUAAGCCAACUAAUCAAUAUUAGUAAUACUAACAGGAGGAUCACUUUGAUGUUAUUCAAAGAAGACACAAAGAUCCAAAAAGAGGAGUUCCCUUUCUGUCGCAGCGGUUAACAAACGUGACUAGGACCCCCGAGGAUUCAGGUUCAAUCCCUGGCCUUACUCAGUGGGUUAAAGAUCUGGCGUCGCCGUGAGCUGUGGCAUAGGUCGCAGACACGGCUCAGAUCCCGAGUUGCUGUGGCUGAGGCUGUGGGCCAGGGGCUGUAGCUCGGGUUCUGCCCCUACCUGGGAACUUCCAUAUGCCACAGGUGCAGCCCCUAAAAAGCAAAAAAAAAAAAAAAAAAAAAAAAGAUCCAAAAAGAGUCACCUCAGGAAAUAUUCUUGCCAGAGUAAUAUUGUACCUCAAUUGAAUCAAUCACCUAGAUCCACUUAUUGUUUAUAGGAAAUGCAGGGGAAAGAGGGACAAUUCAAUGAUACCACAAAGAAGUAAUCAGCCAGAUCUAAAUGUGGCAAAUCCUGAGGAAAACUGACCUGGUUACCCCAAUAAAUUAAUCAUGUUUAAGUUAAAAACAAACACACAAAAAAACUUCUUCAUCUGAGAGAGAAUGGCUAUGUGUUUAUGCUUGACCAGGUCACUUUGUUGUACAGCAGAAAUGAUCACAACCUUGUCAAUCAACUAUCCUUCAAUAAAACU
RNAcentral lists this long non-coding RNA (2111 nucleotides) under Sus scrofa (pig). RNAcentral describes it as "lncRNA (ENSSSCG00050010090.1)". Lineage: Eukaryota; Metazoa; Chordata; Mammalia; Artiodactyla; Suidae. The record is from RNAcentral.